RNAcentral lists this ribosomal RNA (406 nucleotides) under uncultured bacterium. RNAcentral's name for it is "partial 16S ribosomal RNA". It matches the Rfam family "Bacterial small subunit ribosomal RNA", at positions 29 to 526 of the family's 1533-position model. The record is from RNAcentral.
AUUGAACGCUGGCGGCAGGCCUAACACAUGCAAGUCGAACGAGUGGCGGACGGGUGAGUAAUGUCUGGGAAACUGCCUGAUGGAGGGGGAUAACUACUGGAAACGGUAGCUAAUACCGCAUACCAUCGGAUGUGCCCAGAUGGGAUUAGCUAGUAGGUGGGGUAAAGGCUCACCUAGGCGACGACCCCUAGCUGGUCUGAGAGGAUGACCAGCAACACUGGAACUGGGACACGGUCCAGACUCCUACGGGGGGAAGCAGAGGGGAAUAUUGCACAAUGGGCGCAAGCCUGAUGCAGAAAUGCCGGGGGGAUGAAGAAGGCCUUCGGGUUGUAAAGUACGUUCAGCGGGGAGGCGGUACCCGAAGAAGAAGCACCGGCUAACUCCGUGCCAGCAGCCGCGGUAAUAC